This 3009-nucleotide long non-coding RNA is filed under the name Homo sapiens (human). RNAcentral describes it as "HSALNT0144233". Lineage: Eukaryota; Metazoa; Chordata; Mammalia; Primates; Hominidae. The record is from RNAcentral.
GUUUCCACCAUCUGCACAUUUAUUGAACAUGCUCAAUGCUCCAUCAUUGUCUCAUAACAACUGCCUGUACAAGAAAAGCCACCAACUCCAGUAUGUGACUUUGCUGAUGGUUUAUUACCUUAAGGAAAAGACUUACACAGAGAAAUUGAGCAAUGAAAACCCUUCACAUUGAGCAAACACAUUCCACGCUACACAAAUCAUGAGAAAAAUGAGAACUGUUGUGAAACAUGACAGAUUGCCCAAGUGUUAUUUUUCCUCUAUUGGAAAAUUCUAAGACGUUUCCUCAUGUGUAGUUUUUCAGUCACAAAAAUGGCAGUAGGAAUAUUUAAAUAUUAAAUCACAGUUUGAAAAUAGAUACAUACAUACAUAUAUAUACACACACAGGGAUACAUAGUUGACUUAUGAUUCCCAGAUAUGCAGGGUUAUCAUUGUGACUGCUUUGGAUCAAGACAAGUUUGUAAAAAGCAGCGACAUAGUUCAACAUAAUAGUCAGGAGCUAGAUUACUUCCCUGUAAUUGCUAUGCACACACAGUACAAGGCUAGCGAGAUUAUAGACAAUCAUGUCAUUCGAAUCUACUAUCUUUGAUAAUUCUGAAUCAUUUUCAAAGUUAAAAUUGCAGCUAUUGUCAGUAAAGCGCCUCUUAUAAAGGUCAUGCCUUUUGAUUUGGGGGACAGAAUAACUAGGCGUAGCACAAGAAGAGAUGGCUCAGGUAUCAGACUAUCCUGGGUUUCCAGUCUUGGUCUGCUGUUCACUAGCUGGUAAGACCUUGAGUACACGACUAAACUUCUGUGAGACUCAGAUGAUAAUGCCAUAUUCUAUAGGUUUGCUGUGAGGAUUAAAUGAGAUAUGGCAGGAAAGCACCUUCCACAAGGCUUGGUGUAUGCUAAGCGCUCAAAAAAUGCUUAUGAUAAGGUUUAGCAAGAUUUAACUUGGUGAAUUCAGGUCUCCUUCCCUUUUGCACACCUAAGCACACCUGAGUAAUUCACUCUAAGUAUGAAUGUAAAUUUCCUCAGCAAAGGUUAACUAACCCUUAGGGUAGCUUUCCUUUGUCUCAGAACAUAUAGUUAACAAGGGACCACAGAGGUGAUGAUCUAUUUGGUCUGUUUGAAGCCCCUUGUAGAUGUAAUUCUCCAAUAGGUGUCAUUCAGGUCUUUUCCAGAGGCCUCCGCAAGAGCAGGGGCUGGUAGAAUAAGCUGCUGUUUGAGCUCUAACUUUUUGGGGGCACUUCUCUUUUCCACUUAUAAAAUAGUGAAAGAUGCAUACUCAAAAUUGCUGUAACAAUUAAAUAAAAUAAUGAACAACUUAGCAUAGUGCUUGGCACCAAGUAAACACUCAAUCAGUGGAGAUUUUUUUCCAUUAUAUUUAUUAUUCUUAAUUUUUAUUGAAUCAGGCCACACCAUUGCAGGGAAAUUCUGACUUAGAAAGCGCUUCAUUACAUUGGAUCCAAAUUUCCUUCUCCAUGGCUUCAACCCAUGGGUCUGAGACUUGCCCUCCGGGCUCUGCAUAAGAUAGUUCCGUUUCUCAAAACCAAUGGCGACUGGGUUAUUCUGACCACCUUCCUGCACCCAUUGCCAGAAUAAUCCCUAGUUUCUCCAACCAGACUUCCUAUGAUCUUUGAAAGCUAAGUUCAGUUUCCCAAAUUGAGAUGCAAAUUCAGUAAGAACCUAGCUCUUGGGUUUCCACUGAAUUUCAAAUGGAGUGAGCUGUUAUCCAGCCUUGUAAUUUGUAGAUGGCAGGUGUUUUCACUCUCAGAAAAUCUAACAUGAUUCACACUGACUUACAGAAGAGAUCAUUCAUGGAGUGAAUUCUCUUUAUACAAGAAUUCUUGCAUACGCAUACACAAAUAUAUGUAUACAUACAUAUGCAUUUCUUUGAAAUAUUAAAUGUCUCUUUUGCUAAGGCACUUAAUAUAAAAUUUUGACUGUUAAAAUUCUAUUUUCAUGUAGCUUUGGAAGAAGAGAGCUUCGAAUAAAAGUAGGAACACAUGCACAGCUUCCUGUAUUCAUCAAGUAUUUAAUGAGCACCACUGUAUACCUUGCACUGGACUAGGUUUUGGGGAGGUCACAGUAAGGAGGAUGUAUUCCCAGUCCUUUUCCCGUUUAGGAAUCUCUCUGCACACUGCACAGAAUUCCCUGUGAAUAACUACACAACAUUCAAUAUGCAGCAUUGGGUAAACAGAAUCAUCUUUUAAAUGUGUGAUGAGAGCUGGUUCCGAUGGGAAAGAGGGAAUAAGCUACAGGGGAUUCCUGGAUUUUUGUGUGUCCCAUGUAUUUUGGAUGCUUAAGCACCUAAAUUAUCAGAAAAUCAGAUAUUCUCGUCUUUUGAAAAGGAGCUAGAAAGACUAUAAGAGGGAAAAAUGACAUUAAAAAAUCAAGCCAUUUAUUGCAAUGUUUUCCUAUUCUGACACAUUUGGAAGCUCUAAAAACAGGGGGAAAAUAUGGGUUAUAAAGACAGUCCAAUUUCGAUCUGAAUCCUAACUUUCCCAGUCACCAACUGGGUGACUCUGGUUGAGUUUUCUCACCUCUAUGAGCUUCCGUUUCACAUUUGUAAGAACAGAAAUAAUAAUGGGAACUUCUCAACAUUGUCGUGAAGAUUCAGUGAGCUAAUACAUGCAAAGCACUGAGAGCAAUGUCUGGCACAGAAAAGGCCCUAAAUAAAAGAAUUCUAACAGUAAAUAUUAUAUUUUCCUAAUACAAUAAAUAAUAGCCUGAUAUUCAUUAACAACAACCUUUUCCUUUUAGCUUCAACCUCUUCAGCUUUAAACCUUUAUUAAGUCUAUUUCUGUUUCUAAACAACCGGUAAACCUCCAUCUUCCUACCAGAAAACUGGCCAUUUGGUCAGCAGAACGAAAGGCUGUGAAAUGAGUCUCUGCAAUAGAUGUGUCCUGAACACGGGGGCCCCUGGAGUCCCACAGCCUCCAGCUCUAGAGGUCACCCCAGGCCGCAGCUGGUGGAGCAAGGGCUCCAGGGGCUUGUGUAGGCUAUGCAGUUCCUGUGCCAUGCCUCCAC